Molecule: non-coding RNA, 86 nt
Organism: Dendryphion nanum
Lineage: Eukaryota; Fungi; Ascomycota; Dothideomycetes; Pleosporales; Torulaceae
Source: the annotation of a GenBank genome assembly
GCCCGCUUGGCUUAGUGGUACAGCGUCUCACUCGUAAUUCUGCUUGCGACAUGAGAAGAUCCUCGGUUCGAUUCCGAGAGUGGGCA